CCCCUUGUGGUGUAGUUGGCUAUCACGUUCGGCUGUAAACCGAAAGGUCGCUGGCUCGAUUCCGGCCGAGGGGA
This 74-nucleotide transfer RNA is filed under the name Exophiala mesophila. Its description in RNAcentral is "tRNA-Tyr (GTA) (tRNA-Tyr-GTA-1-1)". It matches the Rfam family "tRNA". From Rfam's summary of the family: Transfer RNA (tRNA) molecules are approximately 80 nucleotides in length. Lineage: Eukaryota; Fungi; Ascomycota; Eurotiomycetes; Chaetothyriales; Herpotrichiellaceae. The record is from RNAcentral.